AUCUCAAAAGAAAACCCUAUCGCUUUCCUUUCCAAGCUGCUCUCCCCUCUCACUCUUCCUCGAUCCCUCUCCUUUUCUCUCUCCUACUCGAAACACAAGCAGUUGGAGGAUUCAACUACGACGGCGAGAGGCCAUAUGAGGUUUCAACAACAGCAGAGGUCGACAGGUCUGACAAAGGCUCACUGGGACUGCUAAAUACUCUCUCUCCCUCUCUCUCUCUCUCUCUCUCUCUCUCUGUUAUGUAGUUAACCAGUGACUGGGUUGCAUGGGCUGCAGAUGGUGGUGCGACGGGGUGCCAUGGGUGCUCAGAUCCUAGUUUAUGUAUUAUUUAUUAUUAUUAUUAUUAUUGUAAAGCUAUGUAUUUAUUUCUUUUUGUUUAAAUGGUUCUCGGAUCUUGCUCUCUUAUUUUGGGUUAUUUACUUUUUGUGCCAACUUUUAAUGGAUUUUUUGCUCCCUUGAGAGGAUGACACAGGGAGGUCGAAGGUGGGGGUUCUCUUGGUAAACUUAGGUUUUAUACUUUUAACUUUGAUUUAUUAAGUGAAGCUGAGAGUAUUAGGAUUGCUUUUUCAUUUAUUGGAUUCCAAACCAUUGUCCAUCGAUUGAAGCUAGAAAUGUUAAAACAUGAAAGAGAAUUUUAUAUGAUGUAUGUUACAUAUAUGUAUAAUUCUGAUGAUUCUAAUUAGUGUAUUUUUAUUAUUGUGAAACAAGUGAGUAUCACCAAAGUGUACUAAGUUUUGUGUUUGUCCACAAACAAGUUUUUGUCUCUUGUUGAUCUAGUCAAAUGUGUGUGUGUGAGGUAUGCUAUGGAUAUGAGCAUAUUGGUUUGUAUAUGCAUGUAUGAUAUUUUUUAUAAAGCUGCUAAAGACUUUAGGAAUUCGCACCAUUAUUUUAUAUGAAUAUAUUAGUUUGUACACAUAUAUAUAAUAUUUUAUUGUUGUAAGUUUUUAGAUUACAAAUUGUUUUAGAAAAUUACUUGCAAGUUUCUUUUAGCAUUUAUAAAUAUAAAGAUUUUGUAUAUUAUUUGAUUGCUCCAACUAUUGUGCAACUUUUGAACUUUUAGUGCCUUAAAGAUGUUAUUCAUAUUAUUUGAUUUAGCAAUACUUGUGGAUUGCAAAAGAUAUAGCAUUGAAAUUUGUAAUUUGAUGCAGGAUCCUGGUGACUUGCAUGAUUGUUCUGUUGCUUUUUAUAAUUACUUAUGCUUGUUGUCGAGGCAGCACUCUAUCUUCUUAUAGAUCUUAAGUGAUGUUAACUUUCUACUGAGGAGAAGAGCAUUCUAUGUUUGUUGGGCUUGGUUUUCGAUCUGCUUCUGACAUAGUAUGGGAAACAUCUCCGGUAGACAGUACAGAGAUAGAAGGAACACCGAUUGUAUGUCAAAUCCAAGAAGCACAAGUUCUGGUUAUUUCAAGUGACAUUCUUUAGUCACAUUCCUCACAAGGAUGGGAUUGAGGUGGAUCCAAUCAGGGUUGAGGAAUUCAUAAAUGGGCUAAGCCUGGGAAUGCUUCCAAAAUUAGAAGUUUCCUUGGAGCGACAGGGUAGUACCAGUGUUCUAUAGAAGAACCUUCAAGGAUUGCUACACCAUUAACAUAAUGGACACGUAAGAACUUGAGGUCUGUAUGGUCCAACAGAUGUGAGAAUAGCUUAUAGGAGUUGAAACAAUAAUGAAUGUUACACUAAUGUUGAGUCUAAUGUUGAGUCUUCCAUCAGAGCAAAAGUCGUUUGGGGUGUAUUAUGAUGCACUAAGCAAAGAAUUAGGUUGUACUCAUAGGUAAGGUAAACUGGUGAUUACCAAUGCGUUACAACAGUUGACGAGGCAGAAACAGCAGUCCCCUACGUAUGGUCUGAAACUAGUGGCAGUGGUAUUUGCAUUGAAGAUGUGGUGAUGUUGCUUGUAUGAAAGGAAGUGUGAGAUACACUACUUAUAAGAUCUUGAAGUAUCUUGUUACACAAAAGAGUUUGAAUGAGAGACAUAAAUUAUGAUUAGAAUUAGUAAUGGAAUAUGAUUGUGAAUUCUUUGUCAUCCAGGGAAAGGGAUCUGGAAGAGUUAUUUGAUUUUGAACCUACGUCUAGGAAGUUGACAAAGGAUAUGACUAGAAUGGGGAUGGAAUUGGAUGUGGGCCAGUUAACCAACAUAACCUUGUAAUCUACUCUUAUGGAGAGAGUACGGGAAGGUUGGACAAGUAAUCCUCAAUUGAAGAGAUAUAGGGAGGACCUCCUAGCUGAAGCGAUUAGAAACUAUACAGUUAUAGAGACUAAUUCAUUAGAAUACAAGGGUCGAAUUUUGGUUCCGAUGGGCAUAUUUACAGAUAAGAAAUUCUUGAUGAAUUCCAUACUGCACCUUACUCACUAUUUCCAGGCUCCAUGAGAAUGUAUCAAGAUUUAAAGACCUUAUACUGGUCGCUUGAACUGAAGGGUGAUGUGACUAACUAUAUGGUUAAAUACCCAGCAUGUCAAGAGGGGAGAAUUGAGAAAUAAAGACAAGCAGGGCUACUUAACCUCUGGGUGUUCCUGGGUGGAAAUGUUAGGACAUUAUUAUGCACUCCAUAGUUGGACCGCCCAUAGCAAUGGGUCAAAAUGAUUACACCUUAAAUAUUGUAGAAUGGUGUAUUAAGUCAGGCCAUUUCCAAUCAGUGAGGCCAAACUUUACAAACUUUACAGUAAUUAACAUAUAGAAUUGUGAAUAAAAGAGAUUAUGCGACUUGGUGAGAUUAAGAAGUUUGUUACGUUAGAUUAGAAACUCCACCUUUGCUUCCCAGUUUUGGGAAGGGUUUAUAAGAGGUUAUGGAUAACCCGUUAAAAUUUAAUACCAGUUAGCAUCCUCAGACAAGUGGGUGAUUUGAGAGGAUGACUCACAUAUUGACAAAAAUACUUUGGACGUGUGAAUUGGACAUCGAAUGGUCCUGAAAUAUGGAUUUAUAUCGAUUGAUGGUUAGAGUGGUUCUGUAUGGAGUGCUACAUGGUAAGAAGAUUAGACUCAACCCCUCUAGCAGAAUAAAUUGGGUGAGGGAUAACAUUUGGGUCCCAGAAUGGUACAUCAGACCAGUAGGGUCGGCGAGAAGAUUAGAGCUCAGAUGCUCACUGUUCAAAGUAGAUAAAUAAGCUACGUUUGCCUUCAGCGUAGGGAUAUAAGGUUCCAAGUUGGGAAUUAUGUCUUCUUUAAAAUGUCACCAUUAAAAGUGGGUGAAGAGAUUUGGAAAGAAAGGCAAGUUGAGCCCUAAACUUAUAGGAUCUUUCGAGACCCUAGAGAGGAUCAGUUAGGUGACUUAUAGAUUGGCUUUACCUCCGGCAUUGUCGGUCGUACACAAUGUUUUUCAUAUUUCAACGCUUCAGAGGUAAGUAUCAGAUGUGACUCAUGUGUUGAGUUACGAAGAUCUGGAGCUGUAGGCAUAUCGUUCUUAUGAAGAAUAGCCAAUCCAGACAUUAGACAGGAAGAACAAGUUCUUGAAAAACAAAACUAUACCUUUGGUUAAGGUAAUAUGGAGGAACAACAAGGUUGAGGAGGUGACCUGGGAAUUUGAGUCCAACAUGCGGGAUCAGUAUCCUGAGUUAUUCAGGUAAGAUUUUGAGAACGAAAUUCCUGUAAGGAGGGGAUAAUUGUAACGUCCCAAUUUCCCUAAUAUGGCUUAGUGCCUGGAUUAGGGGGCCGGGAGGCAAUAAUUGAGUUAAUUAGGUGCUUAUGUGUUAUGAGCAUGCUAUUGUGUGAAUUUUAUUAUGAUAUGAUCAUGCUUACAUGUUUAAGUGUAUUAAAUAUGCAUGUGGGCCCGUUUCUUAUUAGAAUGACAUUUUAUAAUUUUGACCCGCUGAGGGUAUAAUUGUAAAUAUGCGUAAUAUGUAAUCGUGACCACAUUAUUAUGUGGAUAUGUUUGAGUUACCCGGCAAGAGGCCACCCUAGGGAGCAAGUUAGCGAAAAAGUCACAACGGGGUAAAAUACCCGGCUUGGGGCAAGCAUAUGUGUAUUUUGGUAAUUUGGUAAAUUAUCGAGAAUCAUAGACUAACGAGAAUUAAUUUAUGUAUAUUGGUGUUGACAGUAAGAACUCGUCAACUAAGUUAGAUUAAGAACUUUAUGAGUUAUAAAAGAAGCGAACUUAAAUCGACUGAACUUCAAACAAUCUUUCUGAUGUUUUCAAGAACACAAAACGUAAAUGCUAGAACUUUAGAAUGGAAAAUAGAGAGAAUGUAGAAUGUGUAUUUUCAUUAGCAAUGGAUGAUUACCAAACUCCCAAAAUUCGACCCCCGUCUUAGGUGAAGGAAGGUCAUAUAUAUAGGAGAGCACUACUGGCUCACUAUACAUGGUGGUCCCGGGGGGACAUGGCUCUACUUAUGCAUGUUAUAUUAUUUUAUAAUAUAAUGUAAUAUUAUAUUAUAUUAUAAUAUAAUGUUUUAGAUUAAGUAAAUGUGACAAAGAGUGUCACAUAUUAUAACAUAUAAUAGAGAGUUACAAUAUUUAGAUAUAUGAGAUAUAUCCAAAUAUAUAACAUAUUUGGUGUUACAAAUUUGUAACUUCCAAAUAUCACCCGUUAUUGUGUAGAUUUGUUGUUACACAAUAUUGAGAUGAAUUUCGUAAAGCCAUAUGAGAAAUGGUUGAUAGAGAUGUGAUUUUAACUGACAUAUUGUGUAUGGAAGUUACAAAAUCAAGUGGGAAUAAAUUUGGAACGUUUUGAAAAAAUUGAAAAAUUGGUUGCUCGAAAAUGUCUAGGGCCGCGACACCUGUUCGUCAGGCUGCGACCCAAUUGGCUGACAGCAUCUUCCAACUUUCAGUUUUAUCCAAUUUUGAACAGUUCCAACAGCCAAAUAACUUCCAAAUUCUCUAUUUUAAUUCCAUAAACAUCCAAUUAAUCAUUGGUAACCGCUAUGGGGGUUGGCGGAAUUUGAAAUUCAAAGGGUGUCUCAAAACUCUAUAAAUAGGAGCCUAAUGCUCACUUGUAAAAUACAACAUUUCCAUCCAUUAAAACACUUGGCUAGAAACGCCUUGAGGCUUGAUUAUUCUAGAAAACAUUUCCAAAAUAUGUGAGAGAUUCCUUAGUGCUUGAGUUAGGGGGAAAUAAGCUUUUGGACAAAGGUUUCAAACUUUGUUCAAGUUGGUGAUCCCCAACACUCUUCACUUUAGUAGUGUGAGUGAGAGUUGUUUGUGCAUUGUUUUCUUGUUCUUUUCUUUUAUUCUACUUCUUUUCAUCUUCAUAUUCUUCUUUUCUAUUUAUUUGUAUCUCUUGUUUAGAGUUGUAAUAUUUUCUUUUCUUUUGUCUCAAAUACCUUUACUUUAUUUGUAACCUUUUGCUUAGAGUUGUAUUUCACUAUUCUCUUCUUCUAUUUCUUCAUUUGUAUUUUCAGUUAUAGAGUUGUAACUUUAUUUAAUCAAUCAUUAUUUAUUUAUAAUACUUUUGCAUAGAGUUGUAAUUUUCUUACAAUUUCCAUUGAGGCAAAUACUAUUUUUCCUAACAUUCAAAAGCUUAUCCCCCAUUGUUUGUUUCAAUGGAAGGUAAGACUAUCGAAAUCAUGAACCAAGACCUAGAAGGGUUGAAUAGGUUUCAUGGAUCCAAUUGAACUUGGUGGUAAGACAAGGUAAGUGUAAAUGUAUACACUAUUUUAUAUAAUAGUGAUGAAAUUUUAUUUCAUGUAUAAGCAUGUUUUCAAAUGUUGAUAUAUGAAUAAUUGUGUAAAUGUUAACAUGUUAAUACAAUAUGAGAUACAUUGUAACAUAGUUGAGAAAUCUAUUUAUGAAAGUUAAUGUGUAAUUCUUAGAAGGCCCUUGGCGCAAGGUGGAAGGGCUUGUGGGUGAGGCCGUGGUGCGAGACAGAGGCCUGAUGCGCUUGUGAGGAGUUGGGGUGAGGUAGGGGCCUGUGGCGUGAGACCAUGCCUCGCUUGGUGCUAUUGUAGGGCUUUUAGCGCAUGGCGCAAGGUCGGGCUUUGCUGUUUCCAUCCCAAGCCUAUAGUUUGAAGAGCACAGGGCAGGGGCCUUGUGCAACUGGAACUUUGGCAUCCACACUUGCCCCCCAGUCUAUGGGAGGGCCUUUAGGCGCUCUGGUAGAAUUCUUGGUACGGUGCCUUCAAACCACCUUUGGUCUUAGUGUGUUUCUUUGCUCUGGUAGUGUGAAGUAACACACUUUGGGGUGGUGAUCCUCAUGAUUCCUUGAGGGUAAAUGUGAGCCUAUCAUUUGGCUUCGCGAAUCCCAAUUACACCCCGUAGUUGGUCAUUUUGAGCACUUGUGUCUAGAGGUUUUUAGCUUAUUCCUUUGUAUCUUGUAGUACACUUUCCACAUACACUUGCUCCCGUAUUACCAACGAGGCGUGCCUUCAUGGAAUUUGAGGGGAGUGUUCCUUCGGGGGUUGGGUUUGUAGACUUGUCCUCAGACUCAAGGUCCCCCGAUAACAACCCCUACCAAAGAUACGAUGCCUUAAGAAGUGCACGUCUAUGUUACUUAGAACACAUGGCUGAGCUUAGGAAAAAUAUUUGGGUUGUCAAAAGUGAGAUGAGAUCGAUUUUGAGGGGUAAUGGAGCCCUAUUUUCCAUUGAUUCUCACACCCACCUUCUCAGCCUUAGAGUGAGCCUUCUUGACCUACAAAAGGAGCUGGAGUUCAUGGAGGGAAACCUCCAUCCUGAACCCUCACCUUUGCAUCCUCCUAGCAGUCUUGUGGUCGCUCUUGGUUCCCCUCAGCCUUUGUCUUCAAUCGACCGUGGUUUGAUGCUCCCACACCCAAUGUCUCAAUGGAAAACUCCCGCAAAAAGAAGAAAAUGGAGGGUAAAGUGCUCGGUUUUGACCUCACCCUUUUCCUUUGAUUUUGCAGACAUGUCGAAGAGAAUGCGAUGACAGGUUGCUCCAGAGAAGCUGGACUUCGUUCCUCUACUGGAGUCCACCAUUAUUUCCAACGUGUUGGAGAACAGAUUGUUAGAGUUGUUUGAGAAAUACCAUAUUAGUAAGGAGUACAAACUGUAUGUAUCGUCUAAUAAAUGUUGGGCUGAUAACCCCCCCCCCCCCCAAGAGCUACAUCACUUUGAGCGAACAUAUUUUGAAGGCGGGUGGGGCCAUUCCUCUACACCUGUUCUUCAUCAUGAUCCUAAACUACUUUGACCUUGCUCCACUCCAGUUGGCACCCAACAGCUGGUUGACCCUGAACUGCCUAUACAUGGCAUUCAUGAAGCUUUAUGGUUGCACUCUCGCAGCCCAGGAGGUGCAUUUAAUGUACAUUCUCAUGCCCACUCCUAAGUUGAAGGGCUUCUACUUUUUAUAGAAAGCCAACUCUCAGAUCUCUUUGAUCCAAGGAUCUGUUUCUAACCCGUGCUCGUGGAAGCAUGACUUUUUCUUUGCCAAAGGUCCUCUUUCUAUCCGCAAACAUUUUUGUUCGUCUCCAAGUAAGUACUUAAAGUCUUUUCCUUAAUAUUGAGCUUGCUAUCGUGGACCUUAUACUCAUAUUGAUAGCUAAGUUGGCCAUUCAGAGAGUUUUACUAUCCUUAACGUUCCUGAGUCAGAGGCGGCACAGGUGGAUGUCUUCCUUGACGCAGACCCUUCAACGAAAUUGGUUGUUCAUCUUUUUAUUGUGGCCAACCUCAACUAUUAUGGUCUAUCAAGGGUUUCAAUGCCCGACCUGCUAUGGCAUAUUUCUGAGCGAAAGAAAAAGGCAGCUUCGACAGAACCUCCCUCAGAUGAGGGUGAUGUUGAAUGGGUGCCUGAGGAGACUUCACCUGAAUCAAAACGUCCAGCCCGAUUAUCUCCAGCCUCCAGGGAACACCCUUCUUCUGCUCCUAUGGGCUGCAUCACAGUUUCUCAUUCCCACGGUUCAUAGUCCAUGCAAGGGCGCUUUGUUCUGCCUUCUUACGAUGAAUUUGACAAUCUCCCUCAUGCCCUCGCUAGUCAUGGCUAUUCCAAGUACCAUUCGUUUAAUGCUCCCACACCUCCUCCUCACUCAGUGAGUAGGUCAUCUGUCCCAGCACACCUGGAUGCUCCUGAUUUGGAGGGGAUGUCCUGGGUGAGUCGCACAUCAUCCCCUUAUGUGUGAAGGUAUGCCUCGGCUGCCGAGGAUAUCCUUGAGACCGAGUGGAGAGGUCUCAAGAGUUUUAAGAUGGCGGAGCUUGGGGAGACCCUUAUGUACUCCACUACUUGGACUUCUCUAGUAGCUCAACAGCUGAUAGACUCGGCACGGGACCUGUCUUUGUCCAAAGCUGAAAGGGAUCGUCUUGUGGCCAGAGUUCAAGUGCUUGAGGGAUAGCUUGCUGAUGCCAACCUCAAGCUGGAGACAGCCCUAGUGAAGGCCUCUUCGUCAUCCAAAAAGAAGAAGAGAACGAAAGCCUAGGCUAAGGUGUUCCGGAAGAGGAUCACCCUCCUAGAGGCUGUUCUGGCAGAGGUUGAAUACAAGUCUGUGGAGCGCACCCUGUAUGGAGUGUGGAGGCAGAAUCCUUGUUUAUACUUCUCCUCCUUUGGUGAUCAUGCUGUUGCCAAGGCGGCCGAGUGGAAUGCUUGAGGCGGGAGGCCUUGAGAUUUCAUUUUUACAACUUUUAUUUUCCAACUUCGAUUUUGUUGUAUAAUUAUUCAAACCUUAUUAUACUGGAGAGGUUUCUCCAGGUUCUUUGCUUUUUCCUUCAGGAACUUUUUUAAGUCAUGUUAUGGUUGGUGUUGACUUUAUCCUGCAGCAUUAUCACGACUUUAUAUAUAUAUAUAUAUAUAUGAUCUUUUAUUGUUGUUUCUUUAUGCUUGAGGUCAUUUUGAGCUCGCUCCUAUAUGCAGAAGAAAAAGGGGUUUGAUAGGUCUCCUUUUUUCUUGAUAACUUGUUUAUGUUUUAUUUGGACCAAUAGUAAUUGUCUUUUUGGUGCACCUUGACUGUAUUUGUAAGGAUAUGUUGAUCCUUUGGGUUCUAGCUAUCCUUUUAUAUAUUUUCUCGUGCGCUUGUUAUUUUUUGCGAGAAGCGUCCUUCUCGUCAUUAUGUAUGGUACUAUUUUUAUAAGGGCCCCUUUUAGGACUCUUUUUGGAUAGAUGGCUUGGUGGCCACUCUAGGCUUAUUGGUCAAUGCUCUCCCUGAGGCAUUUCCCCCCGUGAAGGUAUCAGCCUUUAUUAGGGGUUAUCCUCGUGAAACCAUUUGACUUCUUUUCACAAGUGUCUCUUUUACAAAGGUCUCUUUUGAGACCCCUUUUGGCUAGACGGCGUGGUGGCCGCUCUAGGCUUAUUGGUGUGUGUCCCUCUUGAGACGUUACCCCUUGUGGAGGUGUUAGCUCUUAUUAGGGAGUUAUCCUCCUGAGACAUUUUGACAUCCAUGAGGGUAGUUAAUCGUUAUGAACCCAAGAAGUGCUCCAGGUUUAUCAGCGGAUGUCCUCAUCGAGACCAUACCCCCCGCAAAGAUGUUUAGCCUUUGUUGUGAGGUUAUUCCUGUAGGACCUUUUGGCUCCCUUAAUAUCCAUAAGGGUAGCUAAGCCUCAUGAACUCAAGAGGUGCCUUGCAAUAUUUUCUUCUUUAUUUCUUUUUUUUUCUUUGCUAUAUACUCUGCCUCCCAAGUAGUUGGCGAGAUUUAUAUCGUCGGGCACUUUGAUCAUUUUGCUAAUGUACUUUGAUAAUUUCAAUUGGCGAUGGGUACACAAGAGGCAGAUAUGCGCUUGUGUAAAGGAGUGUGACACUCCAAUAAGAAAAAUAUUCAUUAAAAAUGAGUAGAGUGCAUAAAUAUUCAUGGCAACAAUGUGCCUACUUCGUACCAGGGGAUCUAGGUGACCCCUUUAAUUCAUAGCUGCCUCUGAGGGAGGACUCACAACUACAUUGGGAUGUUAACUAGGGUAACCUCUUUGAUUCAUCGUACUAAAAGUAUAGCUUUACUCGGUAUUCCUUUUCAGGCGCCUAUCCUCAGCUGGUCACAUUCAUCCUCUACUUGGAUGCAUUCUAAAGCUCUUUCAUAGAAGUUUCCUAUGUCCCUUAUUUCUCUCUUGAGCAUACUUCCCCACAUUCCACUCUUCGAAUGUACCCUGCGAUGAUGGCCAUUCUUAACUGGUCCUCAGAUAACCUUCCCACUUUGGCUACCUCUGCGUUGAAGUGCUGGAUAUACUUUCUCAAGCUUUCAUUUUCACCUUGCUUUAUGUUGACAUGGAUCCUAGCGGGUGUCACAUAGCCAGGGAAGGCGCAUUGUUCCAGGAGGCAUUCCCCUCUUCAAGAUGUCAUACACAACAUUUUGGGGUUAGAUGGGAGAGAUUCUUCUAGGAUCUCCUUCGAAAGUGGAGAUUAUUCCAUGGACUUACUGGCUUCUAGCUUCCUUUUCUGCACAACUGCUAUUUGUUUUCUAAGGUUCUUCAUCGUGUUGCCUAGCUUCUCCCUCCUCCUGUUUAUUGUGUUCAGAAGGUCGCAGGCAGACAGAGCUCGAGUCUUUCUCUCAUCUAUGAAAGAAUCUGUGAGGACCUUCUCUCCUUUCACUCCAUCUUCUCUCUAUUAGGACAUGCCCCUCUUGUCUUCGGGCUUCUUCUUUGAGGUGGUGGUAUUCUGAUCAUGUGUGUGCCCCCCACUUCUUGACCACACCUAUGGCAAGGAACCUUCAUGGUGCUUCAAAUGUGAGGAACUACUCUCUGGAAGUUGGAUUUUACCACCGUGAAUGGGGAAAGUCGUUUCCUUUUUUUCCCUGUUCUUCUCCUACAUUCAUGGUGGAGGGUACAUCAGAUUUUGCUUGUGCCAUGCAGUAGAGCACUUCUAGCAUUUUUCACACUGUCUUUUCUAAUUUCUAAUUUUUUAGGCGUAGCUCAUUUAUCUCUCUCUUAUCUGUUUCGAUUCUGACUCCUCAGCAACGCGGGGGUCUAACUCAUGCAGGUUUACGCCUCCAUGCACCACCAUCACCAUGGGUAUUGACAAUUUCAUGAUUGUGCAAAGCGACGUGUUAUAACAUUCCCUCGCUUCCUUCUGUUCCCCUUUCACGCUCGCUAUUCCUCCAGGAGUUGGGAAUUUUAUGGGCAAGUGGUAUACUGAGGUCAUUGCCUUCAAUUCUCUUAGGGAUGACCUUCCUAAUACCGCAUUGAAUACUGAGGCACAAUCUACCACGACAAAGUUUGUCAUUACAAUGGUUUGCCUGGGUUGCUAUCCUAUGGUGAGGGCUAACUCGAUUACGCCUAGGGGUUGUAUCGAGUCCCCUGUAAACCCAUACAGGGAGGUAUUGCAGGGCUUUAGGUUCCUGAUCCUCAGUCCCAUCUUCUCUAAGGUUGGGCAAUAUAGGAUGUCUAUGGAGCUCCCAUUGUCUACCAGGACUCGAUAUACCCUCAAGUUAGCUAGAUGUACAAUCAGUACCAAGGGGUUGUUGUACAAAAAAUGUACACUCCGUGCGUCUUCUUCAAUGAAGGUUAUUGAGUCGUUCUCCUCCUUAAAACUUUCUGGGGGUCGUUGCUCCAAACAUAAGAUGCAUGGAAGUGGACUUCGCCUAGCUUCCAUUACGUAUCUAUCUCGCCCCUGCCUCUGAAUUCUUGCCCUGCGAAGAUGGUCCUAACCUCUCCUUGCACCUCUGAAGCUACAUCUCAUGCCCAUGGUGAGGGUAGUCCUUCUUCUGGUCUUUGAUCUUCUCUACGGACGUAUCAACCCAAGUGUCCCCUACGUAUAAGUUCUUCGUCUACCUUUUAAUGAGUGCAUUCUGCAGUGGUGUGGCCAAUGUCUUUAUGAUACUGAAAAUACUUAUUGGGUCUCUUUUUAAUCGAUCUUUCAUCAUUGGCAGGGGUCUCCUGAAGGGGACCCGAUUCUCAUUCAUGAUGAAGAUAUGUUCCCUAGUAUGUGUUAAGUCAGUAUAAAAGGUGUAUGGGAUCUGUCCGUGUUCAUCUACACAUUGGGGUUUCCGAGGAUUAUAAUCUCUCGACCCUUCAUAGGACCUCUUUUUCUUUGUGCAAUUUAGGGCUUAACGGAUUGAGGGUUUUAGGCAUGACUCGCCCUUCCUAGCCUUAAGACUCUCAUGACCAUCCUCAACACGGAUGUAUUUUUGUGCCUAUUCGUAGAAAUCGUCUAAGUGAGUGACCUCCCUCUUUAGCAUGUUAUCCCACAACUUUCUACUCGGGUGCACUCCAGCAGUAAAGGCCAUUUUUAACUCCCCUCCGGUCACAUUUCCUACUUUGGCUACCUCCCUAUUGAACCCAUGUAUAUAGCUCUUUAGGCUCUCAUCUUCUCCUUGUUUUAUGUUAGCAAGGCUGGUGCCUAGCAUGGUGUAAUCACGCACAGCGUGAUGUUGCUUAAGAAAUUCAUCAGAAAAUUGUUGCCAAGACCUGAUGGACCCUGGCCGGAGUCUCUUGAACCACUUGUACGCAGGACCCUUUAUCGUGAGAACAAAGCAGUGGCCUCUGGCUCUGCUAUUAAUUCCUCUUAACUUCAUUAGGUCAUUGAAUGCAUCAAGAUCGUACUUUGGAUCCGUAUUUCCCUCGUAAGAGGCCAUGUGAGGCUCUUUGAUGUUGGGUGGGAGCCACACGGCUUGGAUUUCCUAAUGAAGGGUGAUUCGUAAUCAAACUCAUCAUCAAUAGCAUGCCCCUGAGACGCGGUGAUUAUCUUGCUCCGUAGGCCCCUCAUCCCGGUGUCUAAGUCUUGUCUCCUUUUGUUCAAGGAGUCUUUCAUGUUGGAUGGAUUGGCAUUUCCUUUCCUUUUAUCUUCCGGGGGAGCCACAGGAGGUAUGGUCCUCUCAUUCGUCCUUUUCCUAUUGAGCACUUCCCUUAACUCUGAGGGAGUUUCCCUUGAAAUGAUCUCAACUUCAUUUUGAGGGUUAGCGUCGUUCCUCCGCUCUGGCCUCUUAGGCUAUUUCGCCUGCCCGGGACGUUCAUGUUGCUUUGGCCGAGGGGUAUUGCCAGUGGAAAGUUGAUUCCUCCCGUCAUCUACAGGGAUUGUGGUUUCUCCUCCCUCAUGGCCUUUCUCCUUUCGCUUAGGAAGAGGCAUGCUUGACUUUCCUUGUAACAGGCCAUUCUACACAUCUUGCAUAUUUUCUAUGGUGGUUUCUAGCCUUUGAUUCUUUUGGUGUAACUUGGGUAUCUACUCUUCGUAGAAUCGAGUCCUAGAGCCUAAGCUUAUGGAAUGUACUCGGGGACUCUUGUCAGGCCUAUGUGUUGAAGGACACGGAUCUUGCCAGCCGGAGUUCGGCACCUGCGGUGGCCUUGGGGGAGGAAAUGCUCAUGCGCCACCUGUAGGGGCAGCCACCGGUCCUGGACGGUUUUCAUAGGGCUGGACAGCUGGGGAUGAAGCCUCCCUUUCAUCUUCAAGAGCCUUGGGCUCCUUUGGUGCAUCCACAUUUUUGGGUGGUGGAGGAUUCCUCAUGGAGGCUUUCAGCUGAUCUCCGUACAGGUGGACCUCAACCUCUCGUGGUUCUCUCAAACACUUAGAAUUUCUUGGCAUCUUUCCCUGUUGGAAUCAAUAGAAGAAUAAUGGCUUGAAACUUAUUCUUCCCACAGACGGCGCCAAACUAUUGAUGGUAAUAACUCGUUAACUAAGUUAGAUUAAGAACUUUAUGAGUUAUAAUAGAAGCGAACUUUAAUCAAUUAAACUUCAAACAAUCUUUCUGAUAUUUUCAAGAACACAAAAUGUAAAUGGUAGAAUUUUAGAAUGGAAAAUAGAGAGAAUGUAGAAUGUGUACUUUCAUUAGCAAUGGCUGAUUACCAAACUCCCAAAAUUCGACCCCCCUCUUAGGUGAAGGGAGGUCAUAUUUACUGUACAUGGUGGUCCCGGGGGGACAUGGCUCUGGUUAUGCAGACUACAGAUGGUAGUGGUGUUGGGAGCAUGGUGGUCGGCCCCAUCACAUGCCAAGGCUCUGCUGGAGCACCUCAACUUUAGUACCUGGUUGUACGUCCACCAUCUAUUUAGUACGAACAUCAGAGGUUGGCUGGGAAUGACCACAUCAGGUACCUUACUCAUAUGACCACUACUUUUCUCGUGUGGAUAUUACGAUCAGACAUCUGGGGUCUUUAGGGUCGUACCCCAUACAUACUUUGUACCUGUAAGAUCUCUUUGAGUUAUACCUAGGAUUUUACACCCCACAAGGCAUCCUAUUCUUUUAACCUUUAAAUUUUGAAGUCCUUAUGGGUCCCCAUAUGAGAAACGUUCCUAAGAGGCAUGGGAGGUAAAAGCCUCUCGACAUGUUCGAUGCGGGGGGAAGGCUAAUGGGAAAGGCUAUGCCUCGCGAGAUGUUGGCGCGAGACGGUGGCCUGAUGCACGCGUGAGGCCCUUGGUGCAAGGCGCAUUCUAAUUCAUGCACGAGGCUGUGGCACAAGACAGUGGCCUAAUACACGCGCGAGGCCCUUGGUGUAAGGCGCAUGGCAUGAGGUACAUUUUGAUGCGCGCCUAAGACCCUUAUUUUGAGGCUUAUGGCGCGAGGCAGAGGCCUGAUGCGCACGCGAGGCCCUUGUUCCGAGGCGCAAAGGCAUGUUGGUGAGGCUAUGGGAUGGAUGCCUGAUGCGCUCGCGAGGCGUUGGGGCGAGGUAGGGGCCUGUGGCGCAAGACCAUUCCUCUCUUGGUGCUAUCGCGAGGCUUUUAGCGCAAGGCGCAAGGUCGGGCUUCCCCGUUUUCAUCCCAAGCCUAUAGUUUGAAGGGCACAAGGCGAGGGCCUUGUGCAACUAGAAUUUUGGAAUCCACAAUUGGUUUGAUAGAUUAUUUGGGAUUAACAGGAAUCCUAAGGGAAAGACAAAUGCCCUUGGGUAUGCUUUAGAGCUAAGUUAGGGGUUAGGGGUAGAAUAGUCUUUUGGCGACCUAACUAGUGUGAUGUGGGCUAAGGCUGAGGAGUCUAGAUUCAUUCACGUUCUCAUCUUGCUCUUCCUCUCUUGGUUUUCACUUAGGAGCACUGAGGAGAUUUUGUCUAGAAACCAAGCCAAGUCUAAUUUUGGUGAAGAAUGAAGGGAAGCCUUGUGGAGUAGCAGCUUUGGACUGGGAAAAGAGGCUACUAGGGACAUGUUCAACCUCAUAGAAUUUGAAUUCAAAGGUGAGACCCCCUUGUUUUGAGUUUCCAAUUGUGUUCUUAAUUUUAAUGAUUUGAUUUCCUAGUUUAACGUUUUAUGGGUGUUUGUGAUGAGUUGAACAUUGGGUUUGUUGCCUAGACUUAGUAUUAUGUUUGUGUGGCUGGAAUCCUGUUAGAAACUCUGGUUUUGGGUCGAAUUUUGGGCCUGUUUUGCUCGUAAUCGCAGGUUUAAAGAUUUCGGGAAGAACACCUUAGUUAUGGGAAGAUUUAUGGUUUAGCAUGAUUAUAAUUAUGUCUGUAAUUGUUUGUUUAUGCAUUUUUGAAUGCUCGGUAUCUGGAUAAUUGUUAAAUGAUGAAUGCUCAUCUAUAUUGUUUGAUAGAAAAGGUUUGACAUAAAAGCCAAGGGCGGCAAUAGUGCACUGAGCACAUGCCGAUAUGGUUAGGCCUAAUGAGGAGCAUGAUAUACGCUUGACCGACCUUAAGGCCGUCGGAAAAUAAGGCGACAGGUACGCUGGGCCAACUCUAAGGGUGCUUAUACAAAGGAUAGGGCAAUGGGCCCCGGGGUGACUCUGUAGUCCCAUAUCCUAGAGCAACGGGCCCUGGUAUGACUUAUUAGUCAUGGUCAGCACCAUGCAUGCAUAACGCAGGGCACUAUGUCUGGGCCACCCUAGGAGUGCAUUAUGCACUUUUCUGGCUCGAAUGCAACUUGAACAAAUAGAAGUGUGAUACGCACUUGUGUGAUUCUGUGGUCACAUUCUUGUAUAAUGUGUCUGCUUGAUUAUAGCUAUUGCUGCUAAGCAUGCUGUUUAUAUUCCAAUGACUAUCCGAAUUUAUUUAAUUAAGUUUUCUUGUUGAGCCUUGGCUCACAGGUGCUAUGUGGUGCAGGUAAGGGUAAGGAGAAGCUUUGCCAUCCAUGAGAUGGAGAGCGUUAGGGGCGGUGUGUACAUAUGCAAUCUGCUCGACCGCCACAGCCGAGAGUUCACAGAGGAACUAAGUUUGGACCUUGUUUUGCCACUUAGGUCGGCUUAUUUUGUAAUCCUUUGAGUUGUAAAGAACUUUUAUCGUUGUUGAGUCUAGUUUUUGUCAUGUUUAGGUGAUGUUUUAAGUAGUCUUUUAUUUCAUUUUUCUUUCAUAUUAGUGCGGGUUUAUGCUUUGUUUGUUUGUCUUUGUGAAUAUCAGGAAGAAUUGAGCACUUGGAGAAAAAUGUCAAAGAAAGGGAAGAAAUAACCAAAUUUCUGAACAUAUUUUGAGAAAGAAUGGAUCUCAACAUAAUUUGGAAGUGUUGGUGAAUUUUUGGGGUUAAAACUUGAAACAUUGAGAAAUCCCUUAAGAGCAACGGCAUGAGCAAAGUAGAGCCGCGGCUAGGUGGUGAAACAAAACCACUGUUUUGAAGGAGAUCCACGGGCCGCGGCAUGGCUAGAGAAGGGCGCGACAUAGAUAGGCAUCAACCCAGAAUUCGUCGACACGGGCCGCGGCAUGGCUGACUAAUGCCGCGGCAUGGAGAGAACAUUUCGCCCAGGAAUUUAGACACGGGCCGCGGCAUGGUGCAUGUAGAGCCGCGGCCCGCCUCUCUUAAAAAUUGAAUCCUAGGUUUUUAUAAGGCGAAAAAAAAGAGAGAAGGGAGGACGUACGGACUGGGGAGAAGUUCUUGCUUGAAGGCUGAAGGCUUGGAGUAUUUUUACAUGUUUUUCUUUUACUUCCUGAUGUUAUCUUUAAUUUUUGUUGGGAUUAGCAUUAUGAUUAUGAACUAAUUUUCUAUUUAGGAUGUUUAAUUGAAUCACUUGAAUCUCUAUUAUGAACUAAUGCAAUUUCAAUUAUCUUCUUCUUCAAUCUUCUUCAAUUCCAUAUAACCUGUUCUUAUAGACUGAUUAUUGAUUGGCCAUCUAUAGUCAUAUAUAUAUGUUUUUAAGUCAAAAUCUGAGAAGUGAGAUUUGAAUCUGCUGUGGUUAUAUUGGACAUAAUUCUAAUUUGGAACGAAAGUAUCUGAAUUAAUUGUGUAACUGUUUAUUAAGUUGUCAAGAUUAAUGCUACCUUUGUGGUUCAAUUUACCAUAGAAAUAUAGGAAAUUGUCACCUAGGUUGAGUUUAUAAUUCAUAGUAUGAUUAUAGGCUGCUGUAUCAACUUGUUAAUUGAAUUAGGCAAAAAGAAGAAGAACUCAUACUCUGCAUUAGGGAAUAA
Long non-coding RNA from Humulus lupulus (European hop), 17031 nucleotides. RefSeq lists it as uncharacterized. The transcript has 4 exons. The record is from RefSeq and is a predicted model, not a curated record. Lineage: Eukaryota; Viridiplantae; Streptophyta; Magnoliopsida; Rosales; Cannabaceae.